Molecule: long non-coding RNA, 7088 nt
Filed under: Triticum aestivum (bread wheat)
Lineage: Eukaryota; Viridiplantae; Streptophyta; Magnoliopsida; Poales; Poaceae
Description: long non-coding RNA (TAES_LNC000269)
Source: RNAcentral
AAACAUGUACAUUGCAUCUGAUAAUCACUGAAAGACUACAGUGCACCUUCUGUGAGUGCAUGCUGUGCUGAUCUUUCUUUAGGUUGAUCAGUUCACCACAAGAAUGAUAUAAAUUUGUUCGUUGUUCUAACUAUUGCAAAAUUGAGCUGCUUGGAUAGGUGAAAAAUUUAUGACAAAAAAAAGGCAUACUCAGAUCCCACAUCAAGCAACAAGCAAGAAAUCAAGAGCUGCUCAAGCUGAGCUCCAAAUCGGCAACUUCCGUGCAGUAUUCUUCGACCAGAAGUUCAACCAUAAAUAAACAGAGUGAAGCUUGAUAAAACCUCAUGAAUGGAUGGAACCCUGGCCAUACCUCUUCUUCUCCAGGAAACAGCCGCACAAAUUUUCCAUUGCCGCUCCUCUAAGUCUUCUGACGGGGUUUUGGAUAACUAACUCCCUGCUGCUCUGCGGGAGCUUACAUUUGACCGUUACCUCUCUUUGCAAAAUGUUGAACGAAUUGUUUCGCAGGACAAGAUGAUGGCUAUCAGAAAAAAUUAAUUGCUCCUGAGCAAGGGUACUGUCGACUAAUAGAGUCUGGUCUCCGUUUAUUUAGAGGGCCAGCUGAAGCUUCUGUAGAUGGUGCAAGAUAAUAUGUGAUUGCUAGCUGUGUGUGUUGAUUGUUGUGUGACGUGGAGAAGUACAUUUGUACUUGCAUAUGUUGUGUGAUGAACUUGAAAGUUGAAACAUGUCAUGUUAGAUGCAUGUUGGAAACAAUCACAUGAUGUGUUUUGAAUGUGAAUUACAUUAUGUGCUAUGUUUGCUUGUAAUUUUGUUGUAAUAAUUCUAGUAAUAUAGCACUAAUUUUAGGCUUGGUUAAACAUGUUUAGAUCCCCAAUCACACACGGUUCUGGAAGUGUGUGCGAUGGCAUCCCCAAUCGCCAACCUAUCCGAGCACACAAUUUUCAAUUCUAAUUGUGUGUGACGGACCCUACUUGUUGACAUAGUUUUCUGUGUUCUAACUGUGUGUGCGAUUGCCCCCUCUAUCGAUCACACACAGAUUUUGGAAGUGUGUGUGAUGGCAUCCCAAUCCCCAAUCGCCAACCUAUCCUUUGGUUGCAUUUCUUUGUUGCAGUUGUUAUUUGUGCCAAGGGCACAACAGGUCGUCAGUUGUAGUAAUAAAGACCGGAUCUGUGUUGUUAUACUUAUGAUAUGUGAAUAUCUUGGUAUAAUGUGCGUGCUAGCAAUUGAUCCAGAGACUUAGCACAGAAAUCACAUUGAUUCAAAUCAUUCCUUAUAUUACUAUAUGGAUCAUUAUAGUAGAUGGUGGUGAGCUCACUAUGGUCUCUUACUCCAAACUGGGACCCGACGACCUAUGGUGUAAAAACAAGACGACUGGGAUGUGUUCCAGUGGAAGUUGAGGAGGAGCUCGUGAUUUCGAGGCCUGGCCUGCGCGACUAGCUCGUCACCACACUCAAACUCAAGUAGUGCAGAAUCAUGGGCGGGCGAUGCGCCAGUGUGUCCUUGGGGCAAAAAGCCCACCUUGCUCGACCAGCAAGCACUUGUCACCGGCGCACGAAAAUGACUUGAUUAUUGGGUAGAUAAAUUAUGAAUAAAUGAUAAAAAAAUGCAGAUAUCCAAAAAAUGGUGACAAUUGAACUCGGUUUGUUAGGUAAAAAAAAGCAAGAUUUUCCAGUUUUUUUAAAAAAAAAGAGUGUGACAAUUGAGUUCUGUUGGGCUGCAAGAAUGACGACACUUUGGACCGAUUCUGAAGGCCCGUGUUUCCUUCAUUGUCUCCUUUAUUAUAAAGGGCGAUGCUAGGCGCCGGUGCGCCGGCCGAACGUUUCGGCCGGUCGCACCCUAGCCAUCAGAUCAGCUCGUCCCGAGCCGUUGGAUCCUUAUCCAACCAGGUCAUCGUCUUCCUCUCGCGAGCGCGUAAUGAGCGUCGUCUUCCUCUCGUGAACCCCGUCUCGCCGGCCGCACGCGUCCCCCCUCGUUGCUGCCCCUCCCUCGCCUGCCCUCCUCGUCCCUGGUCGCCGGCCGUCUUUCCCGGCCGCCUUGGUCGCCGGUCCCAGUCCUUGGUGGCCAUCCUCGUCACCGGCUUUGCCCCAUGCAACAGCCUGCCCCUGCGGUUGUAGCUUCCAUGGCCACCGUUGCAGCUCCGGUGGCAACGACCGGAGCUCACCGGCAUGCUCACCGGUGUGCUUGCCGCGCGCUCAUAUCCCAGUUGCAACAAAAAAUUCGAGCGCCAGGGGAGAUGCCCAGUGCUGCAACCGACGAUGGAAAAAGCUACAAUCGCUGACGAAAAAAGUUUCAACCAGCUAUGUAAAAAGUUUCAACUUGUACGACGGAAAACUAUGAACGACCAAAGAAAAGCUACAACCAGCGAUGAAAAAAGCUUCAACCGGCUAUGAAAAAAGUUUCAACUCGUACGACGGAAAACUAUGAACAACCAAAGAAAAGCUACAACCGGCGACGAAAAAAGCUUCAUCCGACGACGAAAAAAGCUUCAAACCGUGGAGCCGUAAGCUAUGGACGACAAACGAAAAGCUACAACCGGCGGUUACAAAAGCUACAACCGGCAUUGAAAAAAGCUUCAAACUAAUUGUCUUAGCUGUGAAUCCCGCGAUGGUGAUGAUGUCGUUUUGCUGCAACCAUAGUUGGUUUUGCUACAAACGGCGUUGGAAUUUGCUACAACCAUUUUCGCAGCUACUUGCUGCUGUUCCGCCGAGCUCCCACGCCUGCCCAUGGCCAUCGUCGCUGCGGUGCUGUUCCGGGAGGAAAAAGGUUCAACGGUUGUAGCUCCGCGCGUGGUGGGUUGCAACUCAGAUGUGGUCGGGUCCGACGAGGGCAGGCAGAGCUCCGGUUGCGCGGAUCCGAGCAGAUCUGGCCGAGGGCAGCCGGAUCGGCUGAUUCCCAUGGCGGUGGCGCCUUGGGAGGUCUCCGGCCGGCGAAGCUUGGCCAUGGCAGCGGGGAGAGAGAGCGACGAGCGACGGGAAGAAGAGAAACAUGAGGGAGAAGACGCACGUGGGCGCCCCCCCCCCAUCCUACGUGUCGCUAGGUGAGUCGCUCGGUAUGUUCGCGCGUGGACGCGACCGGCCGAAGCUUCGGCCGGUGCCCCGUCGUGAAACGUUUCCCUAUUAUAAAACAAGGUCACUCGUGUAACCCUAACUAAGGCCGCUGGCGACGAUAUUUUUGCCUCCCCCAGUCAGUAUCAAGCAGUUGCUCUUCCCCCCUUGUCUGUGCCCUUGGAAGCGAGGAGCCAACCAGAUCUCCCUGAGUCGGCGGCGUCUUUGUGUACUCGGUACGUGGCUUCCCUUGUUAGAUGAUCCGUUUUAUGCUCGAAUUGGUUUCUGCGUCGGAUCGAUGCGCCCGAUCCAAAUCCUAAGCGGGGCAGCUUUGGAUCUGUCGAUCCAGAAUCGACCCGGACGCGCUCUUCUGCCGAUUCCGGCGGGGGGUCGAGUCGGAUCGUGCAGCACACGUAUACUAUCUGAGGGGUCCGGCAAGGACUCUGCUCGCGCGUGCAUAUAAAGAUGCGUCGAGGGUCGCCUGAUUUUCAUCAGAUCCAAAGUAAUAACCGAGAUAGCGAUCCGCCCGUGCAGGUCCCAAUGGCGAGCUCGAGUUCCUCCGAGGGCAAGGCGGAGCUGGUUGAUCCCAAGGUUGAGGAAGACGCACCCGGCGAGUCGGCCGAAAACCCUGCAGGGUCGACGACGGAGGCGCUCACCAACAAGAAGAAGAAGCAGAAGAAGAAGGUGUUGAUUCAGGUGCCAGAUAGCGAUGUGAAACGUGUGCUCUCGUACAAGGAAAAACCCAUCGAUACGGAGGUGGACGACCUCUGGGUCAGGAGAGACCCAGAACUGGCUGCCAACUGGGGCAUCAUGCUGGCCAACUUGGCCAUGUUCAAGGAGCUCACCAAGGAGCGGAUGCUUGAAGAGCAGAGAGACUAUAGGGAGCAGUUAAAAACCAAGGGCAGAGUCACCUACGAGCUUGAGGUUGACCAAGACGAUCCCAGAUUUAAACAUGUUGAACCCACCACCUCUGCUGGAGCUGGAGCAGGACGGAGGAGGUACCGCCCGGGCGUCAUGAAAAAGCAAGAUGGGCAGAACAGGAAGCUAAAUUAAUAUAGAUUAUGAUUUUGUACUCUUUGCGUUGCUACGGGCAACUCCUUAUCUCCUUGGAUCCAGGGGGGACGACCAGGGGCCAGCACAACCAUGCCUCUAGCGAAAACAAAACCGCGACUCUCGCGAAAGGGGAAAAAAAGAGAAGAAAACACGUUUUUUCGCGGAAUUUUUUUUUUAUUUUUUUUUUCGGAAAGCUAAGGAAGACCGGUGAAAAACCAAGACGUAGCAAAUUUCAAUUUACUGAAUCAAUAUCUCAUUAGAUAUUUCUGUCUACUAACUAUGUAGCACAAGAACAUCAUAAAUAAUUUUUCACUUGCUAAGCCAACAAACAUUUUUGUCUGCUAAACCAUUGGCCUGAGUCGUGGUGCUCCCAUGCAUGGGCCAACCUAGUGAACAUAGUGUGCUACUGGUAAGUGGAACUAUUCUGGCUAAUCAUGGUUAGAUCUGCUGCUAUUCCACGGAAGCCGACUGGAACUUGUGUGUAUUCAGUUUUAGUUCAAAUGGAGUUAAUUGAUUUCUGUUAUAAGAUUUUUUCAGUUCAAUUUCUCUAUCGUUUUUCGCAUUUCGCAUGUGCUUACUGACACGAUACACCCAACCAUGAAAUUAGAUGCUUCCUUAUUAUAAAUAAGGGAUGAACACUGAAUCUGGUGACAAAAGAGGCAGAGAUAGACAGUGACCAUCAAUUCAUCUUCAGAAAAGUCCGCGGACUUGUAGAGAUUUUGACUCCAUUUGGCCUAGCUAGUAGGUACAUCUAUCAGCAGUUCAGAGUGAAGCUUAUAUUGCGUUGCUAUGAUCACCACUAUUUUAUUUUCGAGUCAACGAUAAAUUUAGAUUGCUAAUGUAACUACUCAUGUACUUAAAUUAGAAAUGUGUCUCAUCUAUCAUAACUGAUUAUCACUAUUCGUUAGGAAAUAGUAUGCUACCUUUCUUUCAAUAACUUUUCUUGCACAAGGUGGAUUAUAAGUACUGACCAUCUAAAAUUGUAGCUCAAGCAAAUAAUUAUUUAUGUAUACAAAAGGAAAAGAAAUAAACCACAACAUACCCUGAAAGAAGUGGUACAUGACAUGAACCAGUGAUUCUGGAUAAAUGAAUCGAUGACUUCUCUGCUAGAAAUGUUAGCAUACACAAUACAUGUAUAAUUGCUAGUUAGAGCGUAGUGAACACAGUAACUUCUCAUAGGCAAUAGCGAUAAAAAUCAUCCAAUCUAGUCACCUGCCGAUUAAUUGCUUGCACACCUCAUUGCCGCACACAAUGGUCAGUAGCAACAUGCAAACAAUCUUUUGUUCAAGAUCUUGCGAGUCAUGCACUGGCUGCCCAGUAAUGAAAUUCAAAAAUAGCAAAUGCAAAACCUUGUGUGCAGAGGAAUCAACAGCGGCUCACCUUGGCCCCUGUUGAGUGUCGAGGAGGAGAGGUGCUCACAAUGCAACAGUAAUAAUCAUAGUUGUUCAUAUCAGUAGAUAAAUACCAUGAUUUUCAUCAUUUCCCAGACAUGUACGUCAUUUCCUCAUCCCGUCUUGAAACUGUCAUAUAUCCAUAUCGGUCUUGCAAGAAGUUACUUAUUUUUAGACAAAUUAACUCCACUACCAAAUUAGGAGAUACAUGGCCAUCUUCCUCAAAAAUAUGAAUAGAACUAAAUUAGGGUUCAAACGUCUACUUCUCAGAUAAUCAAUAUCAGUUAUUUAGCAUUAAUUAAGGAUUCGAAUGGUAAAGCAGUAAGAGGAUAGGUAAUAUUGAGGAGGUUGAUUCAACACUUCAUCAGCCAUAAAUUUCAAUGAUGCUUAAUUGGGCUGGCCUCACUGGGAAGAAAGGACAGCUAGCCAACCAGGGGUUUAGCAGGCGUGUUGAGGCUGCGACCCUGUUUGGCUUUGCGGCAGCCUAGGCAUCACAGAAUCGCCUUCCUUGUGUGCGGGGGCGAGCUAUAAAUUGAUAAGUUAACCAACUGUGUCUAUCCUCCCAUUAAUAUAGCUUGAUUUUAAAAUCUACUUCAUCAAUGACACAAUGGUAUGGAAGAUGAUUUCUACAUGUUUUUCUGUGUACUGAUUAUGAACAGAAAAGAUAUAUCCAUCCUCUAAUUAUGUACAUGCCAUGCCAGACAUGAAAUUUAAACUAAGAUGGGGCUGUUAAUCAUUUUAGAUGAUGAGAUACAAGGAUAAGAUUAAAAAACAAAUGUACAUAAGCUAAAGAAAGCAUUGAGUGUGUGGCUCAUGGGAAGUGUGCAACGUGUGAAUGGGAAACUGCUACAAAAUCGAACUGUUGACAAUUUUUUUUCACAAGGCAUCUCUCUAAGCACACAGUACUCACCUUAUAUUGUAGUUGGAACGGGGAAUAGGACGCAACUAGAAAUUCAGCAACGCAGAAGCGGCCACCAAUCAUGGGAAAUCUGAAAUUGAUAAGAGAAUAUCAAAUAUGUAGUUAUGUAUAAAACCGAAAAGGUGCCUUCUGAGAUGUCAACUGAAAGUAACCCACUGAUGUUGGGAAGGAUUUAUAAUUUAGAGUUUGAUCUUCACCCAAAAAAAGGGAAAGCUAUUGAUCUGCGUUCAGUUUACUCUGAAUUUUACCAAUUCAAUAUAUGCUCUCGCGUUUCAGCUUUGGUAUGUGAUGCUGCACUUCUUGGAUAUAUAUUCAGUUGACUUUCGGAAUUACUUAUACCAGUUUAAAAACAAACAUGUACGUUGCAUCUGAUAAUCACUGAAAGACUACAGUGCACCGUCUGUGAGUGCAUGCUGUGCUGAUCUUUCUUUAGGUUGAUCAGUUCACCACAAGAAUGAUAUAAAUUUGUUCGUUGUUCUAACUAUUGCAAAAUUGAGCUGCUUGGAUAGGUGAAAAAUUUAUGACAAAAAAAGGCAUACUCAGAUCCCGCAUCAAGCAACAAGCAAGAAAUCAAGAGCUGCUCAAGCUGAGCUCCAAAUCGGCAACUUCCGUGCAGUAUUCUUCGACCAGAAGUUCAACCAUAAAUAAACAGAGGGAAGCUUGAUAAAACCUCAUGAAUGGAUG